RNAcentral lists this ribosomal RNA (2923 nucleotides) under Bacteroidales bacterium. Its description in RNAcentral is "23S ribosomal RNA". It matches the Rfam family "Bacterial large subunit ribosomal RNA". Lineage: Bacteria; Pseudomonadati; Bacteroidota; Bacteroidia; Bacteroidales. The record is from RNAcentral.
AAAGAAGCAAAUAAGGGCGAACGGUGGAUGCCUAGGCUCCCGGAGGCGAAGAAGGACGUGAUAAGCUGCGAUAAGCUACGGGUAGGUGCAAAUAACUGAUGAUCCGUAGAUUUCCGAAUGGGGCAACCCGAUCAGCCGAAGGCUGAUUAUUCCGUUUCGGCGGAAAGCAAACCCGGCGAACUGAAACAUCUAAGUAACCGGAGGAAGAGAAAACAAGAGUGAUUCCCUGAGUAGUGGCGAUCGAAAGGGGAACAGCCCAAACCAGUGAUGUUUCGGCAUCACUGGGGUAGUAGGACUGCCAUAUAGGGUUGUAAGAUCGGAAGUCGAACAAUACUGGAAAGGUUGACCACAGGAGGUGAAAGUCCUGUAGACGUAACGAUUUUUCGACCCUGGCAGUAUCCUGAGUAGCACGGGGCACGGGAAACCCUGUGUGAAACAGCCAGGACCAUCUGGUAAGGCUAAAUACUCCCGGGAGACCGAUAGUGGACCAGUACCGUGAGGGAAAGGUGAAAAGCACUCCUAACAGGAGGGUGAAAAAGAACCUGAAACCGUUUGCCUACAAUCAGUCGGAGCCCCGCCAUAGGUGGGGUAACGGCGUGCCUUUUGGAUAAUGAGCCUACGAGUUACUGUCUCGAGCCAGGUAAAGCCCUAUAAGGGGCCCGGCCGAAGCGAAAGCGAGUCUGAACAGGGCGUUGAGUUGGAGGCAGUAGACGCGAAACGCGGUGAUCUACCCAUGGUCAGGCUGAAGGUCCGGUAACACGGGCUGGAGGGCCGCACCAGGCAGCGUUGAAAAGCUGUUGGAUGAACUGUGGGUAGGGGUGAAAGGCCAAUCAAACCGUGAGAUAUCUCGUACUCCCCGAAAUGCCUUUAGGGGCAGCCUCGGAAUAAGUGUUACGGAGGUAGAGCACUGAUAAGGCUAGAGGGCUUCAUCGCCUAUCAAACCUUGACAAACUCCGAAUGCCGUAACAUGUUUACCGGGAGUGAGGCACUGGGUGCUAAGGUCCGGUGCCGAGAGGGAAACAACCCAGACCAACAGCUAAGGUCCCCAAAUGAAUGCUAAGUUGAUCGAACGAGGUGCGACUGCAGAGACAGCUAGGAUGUUGGCUUGGAAGCAGCCAUUCAUUUAAAGAGUGCGUAACAGCUCACUAGUCGAGCGGUCGUGCAUGGAGGAUAAUCGGGCAUUAAGUAUUCUACCGAAGCUAUGGUUCCCCCGCCUUUGGCGGGGGGAUGUAGGGGAGCAUUCUCUGAGCGUUGAAGCCCUGCUGUGAGGCGGGGUGGAGUUCAGGGAAAAGAAAAUGUAGGCAUAAGUAACGAUAAUGCAGGUGAGAAACCUGCACACCGAAAGACUAAGGUUUCCAGAUCAACGUUAAUCGGAUCUGGGUUAGUCGGGACCUAAGACGGACCCGAAGGGGGAAGUCGAUGGAGAGCGGGUUAAUAUUCCCGCACUACCUUAUACUGCGAAGGGCGGACGGAGAAGUGACAGGUCUGCGCACUGACGGAAUAGUGCGUUGAAGGGUGUAGGUAAUCGCCCCGGUUAAUAGCCGGGGAGAGCCGAACCCGAUAGUACCGCGAGCCUUCGGGCGAGCGGAUAAUGGCCGUAAUCAUGCUCCCGAGAAAAAGCCCUAAGCAUCAGGUAUGAGGUACCCGUACCGUAAACCGACACAGGUAGUCGAGGAGAGAAUCCUCAGGUGCUCGAGUGAUUCAUGGCUAAGGAACUCGGCAAAAUGGUCCUGUAACUUCGGGAGAAAGGACUCCCCCUCCCGCCAUAGGCGGGGAGGGGGACGCAGUGACCAGGCCCAGGCGACUGUUUAUCAAAAACACAGGGCUUUGCGAAAUCGAGAGAUGAAGUAUAAGGCCUGAUACCUGCCCGGUGCCGGAAGGUUAAGGGGAGGAGUUAUUCCCCCGCCAUUGGCGGGGGAAGAAGCUCUGAACCGAAGCCCCGGUAAACGGCGGCCGUAACUAUAACGGUCCUAAGGUAGCGAAAUUCCUUGUCGGGUAAGUUCCGACCUGCACGAACGGUGUAACGAUCUGGGCACUGUCUCGGCCAUGAGCUCGGUGAAAUUGUAGUUCCGGUGAAGAUGCCGGAUACCCGCAGCGGGACGGAAAGACCCCGUGAACCUUUACUACAGCUUAACAUUGAUUUUGGGUAAGUGAUGUGUAGGAUAGGUGGGAGACAGCGAAGCGGCCUCGCCAGGGGUCGUGGAGUCGUCCUUGAAAUACCACCCUUUGCUUGCUCGAGGUCUAAUCCGGCAGCUGCCGGAGACAGUGUUAGGUGGGUAGUUUGACUGGGGUGGUCGCCUCCUAAAAGGUAACGGAGGCUUCUAAAGGUACCCUCAGCAUGGAUGGCAACCAUGCGCAGAGUAUAAUGGCACAAGGGUGCUUGACUGAGAGACUGACCGGUCGAUCAGGUAGGAAACUAGAGCAUAGUGAUCCGGCGGUACCGUAUGGAAGGGCCGUCGCUCAAAGGAUAAAAGGUACUCCGGGGAUAACAGGCUAAUCGCUCCCAAGAGCUCACAUCGACGGAGCGGUUUGGCACCUCGAUGUCGGCUCGUCACAUCCUGGGGCUGGAGGCGGUCCCAAGGGUUGGGCUGUUCGCCCAUUAAAGUGGCACGCGAGCUGGGUUCAGAACGUCGUGAGACAGUUCGGUCCCUAUCUGCUGUGGGCGCAGGAUAUUUGCGGGGGUCUGCUUCUAGUACGAGAGGACCGAAGCGGACAGACCUCUGGUGUAUCAGUUGUGGCGCCAGCUGCACUGCUGAGUAUCCAUGUCUGGAAGAGAUAAGCGCUGAAAGCAUCUAAGCGCGAAGCUCGCCCCAAGAUGAGAUAUCCCAACAGGGUCGUUGAAGACGACGACGUAGAUAGGUUGCAGGUGUAAAGGCAGCGAUGUCAAAGCCGAGCAAUACUAAUUACCCGAAAGCUUCUUUAU